GUGCAAGGUUCGAAUAAUCCACAGACCAAAUAUUAAUUAAAUUUGCCUGAAGCGGUUUAAUUCAAUCGUUUACGUUCUUUUGAAAGUGUUGUACCUACUACAUGAUUUAAGUUUGGAACGAAUAUUGUCGGUAUCAAAACAUAUAUCCUGAACAAUUAUUGAUUCUACAGUUGGCAAGUUAAUUAUAAUUAUACCUCUCUUUUUAUAUUGAAUGUACUCAUAGGUUGAGCUACCUGUACUUGACUCGGUAUUUCUUAGCUUAGUUCUUGGUACCUGCUAAUUUCGAUAUUUCAUACUUGACUUUCGGUCUAAGAGGGUGGAAAGGAAUGUGCCUCGAUGCUGUAAUUUAUAACUGAUUUCUCAAUUACGAUAUACUAUUAUGCAAUAUGCAUUAAAUCACCUAGUACAAAAAUAACAUUUCACAAAAACACUAUAUGCAUAAAUAUCGUCAUCCUUCAUCAUAGAAGAUUUAAAUCACAUUCUACCACCAAGUAAGUACACGUCUGUUAAUUCACAAUAAUAGCAUGAUUGAAACUUAACCCGGAGUUUGCACAUCUCUCUGAAAUUACACUGUUGCCACGGUGGAGUCAAACUGACCCCAAACUUAUCUAAUUACAAAUGAUAAUGAAAUCCACUUAUAAAAAACUGAUGCUACGAUCGAAUCUCAAAGUUCUCGAAAUAUCAAGCACAUUGUUGGCAUUUUAUUCGUUCUCUGCUUGGUCGAUAUGCCGUGUGUCAGUUUGACAGUUGGCGCUAUGUUUUCAUUCACAGAAUAUAACCGUGUUUCUGUCAUCGUCAUCCAAAUGAUGCACUAACUUCAAAUAAAUCAUGAUCAAUUAAUAAAAUCUUUAUAUUGAAGUGAUGUAAAACUUCGAGUAUUCGUUUCCACAUUGAAACGCAAGACGAUGGCAAACGUAAAUCAGCUCAAGCGAGAAUCAGCUUUAGCAGAAGUAAGUUCACAUUAAUCUCUCAUGACUAUCAUAUAUGAAUCAUAAUAUGUCAGAAAAAUUGUUUUUAUUCACAAGAUUACAAAUUCCAAUCAUACAAUAGACGGUAGUGACAACGACGAUUGGAAUUGUACAUAUUCUAAUCGCCAACCUUCAAACGGUGGCAUGGAAAAAGGUUCGUCAUUCUGAUCAGUUAUUAUCUAAGAUUCAAAAAUUUUGCACCCAUUCUAUAAAUUGGAGUUUAUACUAAAAUAAUCAAAGUCAUUAUACAUGAUUCAGCGGGUUAGCGUGAUGCUUAAGAAUACAUAUGUAUAUAACUUAUUCGUAAGUUCAAUUCGAAAGCAGGAAUUUCUUUUUCUUCUCCUUUGCUCGCUCAAGUGCAUUUAUAAGUUUGAUCCAUGAUAGAUAGUAAUUCCGUGCCACGUCUACACAUGACUGCAAAGUAUUACAGAGACGUCCUCAAACAUUCAAGGAAAUAAUGACAGUUCAUUCACUGUUCUCCGCUAUCAUAACAAUGGUUUAAUUUGACUAGUAGAACAAUGUUCAAAUCAUUAGUAAUAAUUAAUCAUCAUUCCAGAUCUAAAUUCAUUUGAAAUGUUUGCCAAAGGUAUUUCCACGACUAGAACAUUAUAGCUCAUGUCUAUGUGGGUACAGUUACUGACAAAUUCAAUUAUACACUGACUUUAUUUCGAUCGAUGCACCGAUAUUAAAUACAUUUUUAUCGCUUAUUUAAAUGAUGUUGAAGUGCCCGUAUCUUGUCCGACGAGCGCUUUGAUUUUUCAAAAAUUGUGCGCUGACAGAGCUACAAGACACGGAAAUCAAUUGAUAUAACAUACUUCCACAAAUCCAGCUACCCUUGGAACGUCAAAAUAAGGGACCACACCUGAAUUUUUCUUAACCGAGCUGCGCUAACUGUAACUACUAGAUUCGGGGACAAAAUAACUUCAUCAUAGUUUUUUAACGCACUUGUCGCAUUUUGUUAAAAUGACAUAUUCACAUAUAUGACAUAAUAUCAAUAUUUUCAAGUUAUUUUAUUCCGGUAUACCGAUAUGUAUCGUCGACCCCAAAGAUUAAAUUAUGAAUUUGAGCCCAGAAUGCAGCGGGUAAUUUUCUCAAAUAAGUAACAAUUUUCGCUAUUCACAUAAGAAUGACGCAGUUCAUAAUUAGUUGGUGUUCAGCUGGUGUCAUCUUGACAAACUAAAUUUACGAAUGCCUAUAGAAACCAGGAUUCAGCUAUGACUCUGCGACGGAAAUUUUCGGCCCUUGUUGGCUUUCCCCGAAGUAGACGUAUGAAUAUUUUCUCAGUACAGCCAGCUUUAAAAUCAUCUAACAGAAUAGUUCUAGGCGCUUCUCUUGAUGCCGACCAGUUUCAAAAUUAUGCUCCUUUAUGCUAAUCUGUAUCACCCAUGCUAUUUUCAAAAUAAAACAUGUAUCCAACGAGAAUCUUGAGCGUAUUAGUAACUGUAGUCAGUUGCUCUACAAAAUGUAACUGAGUACGUCGAAAAAUCUAUGCUUUAUGGUACACAAGUUUUCAUUCAGAGCAUUUGUCCGCUUUGCUCGACUCGCGUAGAAGUUGUGCAUGUGUGGCGUCGGCGGUGUGACCGUGGCUCCGAAUCUGCUCUCUCAUCAGAGAUUUCCCUAAUAUCGUACGUAACGAUGUCAUGUUACGAUGACCCCGUAUUUACCACUCUCUAUUCCGAUGUUCUGCAUAUACUUAGAUAACAUCGCAGUAUUUCUUCAUAUUUGAUCCAUCUUUUCAAGCAGCCGGUUUGUGUGGUUACAAUUCCUCAAUUCACACACCGUCCGCUUUACCAAGGUGAACACAUUUCUGCUUCACGCAGAAGAUGAAAGAUAUGGCGUCGACGUGGUGUUAUAACGUAAGGGCAUGUACUGUUUUGCUCUUGCUGGGCAGUUGCUAUAUAAGUUGCUAUAUAAAUGACGCCUCCGAUAGCAGCAGUGCCGCAAGGAACAAUUCGAGGUGUGAACAUGGUCAGCUACCGUAAUAAAACGUUCUUUGCUUUCAAGGGAAUCCCGUACGCAGAGCCUCCGGUUGGAAAUCUCAGAUACGUUGUGGUAUCAAUAUAAUGUUCAUUAACCUCAAAAUUCAUUUUUCAAAUCGAUAGUAAAAAUGCAUCGACGAAUGUCGAGUCUAAAAUUUGCCCAGCCGUCGUGUGGGGCCCAACUAUCGAACCAGACGUAGAAGGGUCCUUACUGAACGAUAGUCCUGCAAACCUCUUGGCUGCUGGAAAAAUUCGCGAUCUACCUUCGAUCGCCCUCGUCACUCGAGAUGAGAGACUUCAUUCUACUGUUCCAUACUACAGAAAUCCAGACAUUCUCCCGCAUCUUUUGGAUGAUAUCGAUUCCGCCCUACCUGUAAUCGUACAGUACAAAUACUUGUUUGAAAAUGUGACAGCCUUCACAACGACCCUCAAGUCACACUGCGUGAAUUACCUGACUGUCAAUAGGAAUUUGGUAAGUUAUUUCCCCGUAGUGGAUUUCGCGGCGUUUAUUAUUUCAUGUAGGAGCAUUCGUUUUACAUGUGUAUUUAUUGGUGUAUGUAUGUUUCAGUUACUAACGAACAUAACUCAACUCAUAGGUGAUGCCAUAUUUACAUAUCCAACAUACAGUGAUGAAAGAACACUUAGUUAAAGCUGAGAAGUAAGAGUAUUUCGGUUCCUUCGAAUACCGCGGUAGGCUCAGUUUUAAUUAUGAUGGUGGUCUUCCAGCGAACUACGGAGUGACACAUGCUAAUGAUCUGUUGUAUCUUUUUCCUGGACCAAAGAGUUGGUAUGGACCCGUAGAUUGGGAAUAUAACGAUGCUGAUUGGAAAAUGGUGGACACGAUGGUUCAGCUCUGGACAUCCUUCGCGGCUACUGGGUAGUUCUGAUUACUGAGGACCCGUACAGAUAACAUCUCGAUGUAGCUAGUCUGAAUAGAAAUCGUUCUGUUCCACUUUCAGAGUACCGCUGACGUUAGAUUCGGAUGUCUCGACGAUUUGGUCUCCAUUUACGUCUCAUGAUAAUUAUCUUCGCAUUGGUAACGGAUCUGACGUGGCACUAGAAGUUCAGUAUGGUUUUCAUAAAGAACGAAUGCAGUUUUGGGAUGAACUGACCGCUGCUACGACAUGGAAAUA
This is a long non-coding RNA of Neodiprion virginianus, 4080 nucleotides long. RefSeq lists it as uncharacterized. The record is from RefSeq and is a predicted model, not a curated record. The transcript is spliced from 2 exons. NCBI's taxonomy places the organism in Eukaryota, Metazoa, Arthropoda, Insecta, Hymenoptera, Diprionidae.